AUUUAAAAAGGAAUGAAAAUGAACAAGCCCCAUCCCAUCUGGUCUCGGAAGCUAAGCAGGGUUGGGCCUGGUUAGUACUUGGAUGGGAGACCACCUAGGAAGACCAGGUGCUGUAGGUG
RNAcentral lists this ribosomal RNA (119 nucleotides) under Pteropus alecto (black flying fox). The record is from RNAcentral. Lineage: Eukaryota; Metazoa; Chordata; Mammalia; Chiroptera; Pteropodidae.